RNAcentral lists this ribosomal RNA (1768 nucleotides) under Onitis sp. NLG-2014. Its description in RNAcentral is "partial 16S ribosomal RNA". The record is from RNAcentral. Lineage: Eukaryota; Metazoa; Arthropoda; Insecta; Coleoptera; Scarabaeidae.
UAAACUAGGAUUAGAUACCCUACUAUAAGGAUCGUAAAAUAUGAAUAUAUUAAGGUAGUAUUAGCUAUGGUCUUGAAAUUUAAAAAAUUUGGCGGUAUUUUAGUCUUUUCAGAGGAACCUGUUCUAUAAUCGAUGAUCCACGAUUAAUUGUACUUGAUUUACAAGCUUAUAUAUCGUCGUAGUUUGAAUUUUUCAGCAGAAUAAGAAUUUUCAUAAUUUAUAAUUUUAUAAAAGAAAUCAGAUCAAGGUGUAGUUUAUAAUUAAGAAGAAAUGGGUUACAAUAAAAAUAUUUAUUAUGGUUAUAAUAAUUAAAAUUAUUAUUUAAAGCGGAUUUGAAAGUAAUAUAUUUAAUUUAAAAUAUAUGAUUUAAGCUCUAAAAUGUGCACAUAUCGCCCGUCGCUUUCAUUUAAUUAUUAAGAUGAAAUAAGUCGUAACAUAGUAGGUGUACCGGAAGGUGUAUCUAGAAAGAUCAAAUUAGAGCUUGUUAGAAAGUAUUUUAUUUACAUUAAAAAGUUAAUUGUGUAAAUCAAUUUAAUUUGAAUAUAAAAAUUUAUUAAAUUUUAUAAUUAAUAAUUUAUAUUUAAUGAGAAUAGUUAUUUUUUUUUAUAUUGUAUAGAUAAAAUUCAAUUUUAUUAUAGUUAAUUAGUAAAGUAGUUGAAUAUUGAAAUAUGUGAAAAUUUAAAUAUGAAAAAGAAAAUUUGAUUUAUUGUACCUUGUGUAUCAGGGUUUAUUAAAUAAGAAUUAUAAAAUUUAAUUUUCUCGAAUUUAAAAGAGUUAAAAAAUUAUAAAUUUUAUUGUAAAAUAAAUAUUUUAAAUAAUUUUUUAGUAAUGAAACGUUAGUCGUUUUUAAAUUUAUCUAGUUUUUUAAGAAAUAAAUUUAAUUUAGUUUAUUAUUAAUUAAUUAAAGUAAAUAAAUUUACUUUAAAUUAAAUAAUAAAUUAAUAUUUUAAGGGAUAAGCUUUAAAAUAAAAAUUUAAAAAUUAACUAUAUUAAUUUAUUAAAAUUUAUAGAAUUGGAAAUUUUUAUUAUUUAUAGUAUGUUAUAAUAAAUUUUAAUUAAUAUAUAAUUUAUAUAAAAUUUUAAAUUUUUUAUUAAAAUUAUUAAUUAAAUUUUAAAAUUAAUGUAAUAAUGAUAGAAUUAGUAUAAUUUAAUUGUAUUUAAUUUAAUUUUUUAAGGUUAAGUUAAGGAAUUCGGCAAUAAUUUUCUUCGCCUGUUUAUUAAAAACAUGUCUUUUUGAUUAUAAUUUAAAGUCUAACCUGCCCUAUGAUUAUAGAUUGAAUGGCCGCGAUAUUUUGAUCGUGCAAAGGUAGCAUAAUAAUUAGUUUUUUAAUUGAGAACUGGUAUGAAUGGUUGGACGAGAGAAAAACUGUCUCAAUUUAAUUUUAUUAGAAUUUUAUUUUUAAGUAAAAAAGCUUAAAUAUAUUUAAAAGACGAGAAGACCCUAUAGAGUUUUAUAUAAUUUUUAUUUUUAAUUAUUAAGAAUUAUUAAUUUAUUAGUAGAGGUUGUAUUUAGUUGGGGUGACUAAAAAAUUUAAUUAACUUUUUUUAAAUAAAUUAAACAUUGAUUUAUGAUUAAAUGAUCCAUAAAGAUAUGAUUAAAAGAUUAAAUUACCUUAGGGAUAACAGCGUAAUUUUUUUUAAGAGUUCUAAUCGAAAAAAAAGUUUGCGACCUCGAUGUUGGAUUAAAAUAAACUUUUAGUGUAGCAGCUAGAAUAGUUGGGUCUGUUCGACCUAUAAAAUUUUACAUGAUCUGAGUUCAAACCGGAGA